This 492-nucleotide ribosomal RNA is filed under the name uncultured bacterium. Its description in RNAcentral is "partial 16S ribosomal RNA". It matches the Rfam family "Bacterial small subunit ribosomal RNA", at positions 29 to 507 of the family's 1533-position model. The record is from RNAcentral.
AGUGAACGCUGGCGGUAGGCCUAACACAUGCAAGUCGAACGGCAGCACAGUAAGAGCUUGCUCUUACGGGUGGCGAGUGGCGGACGGGUGAGGAAUACAUCGGAAUCUACUUUUUCGUGGGGGAUAACGUAGGGAAACUUACGCUAAUACCGCAUACGACCUACGGGUGAAAGCAGGGGAUCUUCGGACCUUGCGCGAUUGAAUGAGCCGAUGUCGGAUUAGCUAGUUGGCGGGGUAAAGGCCCACCAAGGCGACGAUCCGUAGCUGGUCUGAGAGGAUGAUCGCCCACACUGGAACUGAGACACGGUCCAGGGUCCUACGGGAGGCAGCAGUGGGGAAUAUUGGACAAUGGGCGCAAGCCUUAUCCAGCCAUCCCGCGUGGGUGACGAAGGCCUUCGGGUUGUAAAGCCCUUUUGUUGGGAAAGAAAAGCAGCAGGUUAAUACCCCGCUGUUCUGACGGUACCCAAAGAAUAAGCACCGGCUAACUUCGUG